This is a long non-coding RNA of Vicia villosa (hairy vetch), 618 nucleotides long. RefSeq lists it as uncharacterized. NCBI's taxonomy places the organism in Eukaryota, Viridiplantae, Streptophyta, Magnoliopsida, Fabales, Fabaceae. The transcript is spliced from 3 exons. The record is from RefSeq and is a predicted model, not a curated record.
UAUUUAAAGACUACAAGAAGGACAUUCAAUCCAACAUAUGCAAGCAUUAGGUUUAUAGAUAUCACAAACUCCAUAUCCUGUUCCCGCAUGAAUCCGUAUUCAAGAAUGGUCAAUGAAAAGAAGAGCUCCUCUAGCUACAAGUAUGGAAUGAAAUGGUCUUCAAACUUUUUCGCCGGUCAGGCAAGUGGUGGAAGUGUUAUUGGUCAUGGUGUUGACUUGAACUUAGUGAAAGGGAAAAACUCUGAACGUGUAUGCUGAUCACAUAUCAACCUCAUCUGAUAGUAGCAGUGAAACCAGCUCAGAGGAUUCAUCUGAAUGGAUAUUUCAAGGAAUAAGCCGUGUUCAAGCUAGAGUUAUAGAGACACUCGAUGAUCCUCUACUGGAUAUUUCAAAGCAGUGACUCAGAUAGUGAUGAUUCAGGGGAGGAAUAAUACCCUGGGGUGUAUAGCUGGACCAGAGAGAUCACGUAUGCGAAAAUUGCCCAGAAGAACUUGCAUGUAGUUAUGUAUUAUCUGCACACUUUUACGCAUGCUUUAAGUUUUCAAACACAGUUAAGUGACCUGUUAAAAUUAAUGUGUUGUAACCACCACUAUUAGUGAGCAUUAUGAAAGAAGUGUA